Molecule: non-coding RNA, 676 nt
Organism: Prunus mume (Japanese apricot)
Lineage: Eukaryota; Viridiplantae; Streptophyta; Magnoliopsida; Rosales; Rosaceae
Source: RefSeq, a predicted model, not a curated record
GUUAGAGAGAGGUAGUUCCCAUUCCCAGUAGAGAGAGAGAAGGAAAUGGUUUUAGCUAGCUUUUAGCUAUCUGGCGAUGACUUUAUGAUUCUUUUGAUCGAAGCUUGGUGGAAAGCCAUGGAUCCUUGAGAUAUAUGGAUUUCGAUGAAGGAUGCAUGGAUCUAGAUAUAUGUUGUAGUAAUAAGAUGAUUCAUGGGAACUAUUUUCACGAUAACAAAACCUGUUAUUCGAUCAGUGUUCAUCUGCAGGUUAGAGGGCUGGAUCUCUCUUGGUGAUGUCAAGUAAAAGAUUAUGUGCCUAACAAGAAUCAGACGCGCCUGCUUCAAACGAAUCUGUGUGCACUGGAGAUGUGCAGUGCAGUGUGCAGAAGCUUGAUAGUCGCAGGUCAACUUGGGCAGUAAUGAUCGUUGACCAUUACUAUAAUAAUAUCUCAAUGCUUUUUUCACACCGAGGGAGGAGCCAGCAACAUGCAAAUGCCGUCUCCUAUGUACGUUUAAACCUUGUGACAAAUUAUUAGCUUAAAAUUUUAUUGUCAAAAAUAGUGAAAUUAGAGAUCUCCAACAAUUUUGAAUAGGCAAUGAAUAAUUAUCGAACGGAUACGGUGAAAAUCUAUGUACUACCGGAAAUUACAAAUGGAAGAAAAUUUGUGUAUAAUAUCUCUGUUAACUUAUAACUA